GGUUAAGCGACUAAGCGUACACGGUGGAUGCCCUGGCAGUCAGAGGCGAUGAAGGGCGUACUAAUCUGCGAUAAGCGCCGGUAAGGUGAUAUGAACCGUUAUAACCGGCGAUACCCGAAUGGGGAAACCCAGUGUGAUUCGUCACACUAUCAUUAACUGAAUCCAUAGGUUAAUGAGGCGAACCGGGGGAACUGAAACAUCUAAGUACCCCGAGGAAAAGAAAUCAACCGAGAUUCCCCCAGUAGCGGCGAGCGAACGGGGAGGAGCCCAGAGCCUGAAUCAGCAUGUGUGUUAGUGGAAGCGUCUGGAAAGGCGCGCGAUACAGGGUGACAGCCCCGUACACAAAAGCGCAUGUGCUGUGAGCUCGAUGAGUAGGGCGGGACACGUGGUAUCCUGUCUGAAUAUGGGGGGACCAUCCUCCAAGGCUAAAUACUCCUGACUGACCGAUAGUGAACCAGUACCGUGAGGGAAAGGCGAAAAGAACCCCGGCGAGGGGAGUGAAAAAGAACCUGAAACCGUGUACGUACAAGCAGUGGGAGCACAGGUUUACCUGUGUGACUGCGUACCUUUUGUAUAAUGGGUCAGCGACUUAUAUUCUGUAGCAAGGUUAACCGAAUAGGGGAGCCGGAGGGAAACCGAGUCUUAAUUGGGCGUUAAGUUGCAGGGUAUAGACCCGAAACCCGGUGAUCUAGCCAUGGGCAGGUUGAAGGUUGGGUAACACUAACUGGAGGACCGAACCGACUAAUGUUGAAAAAUUAGCGGAUGACCUGUGGCUGGGGGUGAAAGGCCAAUCAAACCGGGAGAUAGCUGGUUCUCCCCGAAAGCUAUUUAGGUAGCGCCUCGUGAAUUCAUCUCCGGGGGUAGAGCACUGUUUCGGCUAGGGGGCCAUCCCGGCUUACCAACCCGAUGCAAACUGCGAAUACCGGAGAAUGUUAUCACGGGAGACACACGGCGGGUGCUAACGUCCGUCGUGAAGAGGGAAACAACCCAGACCGCCAGCUAAGGUCCCAAAGUCAUGGUUAAGUGGGAAACGAUGUGGGAAGGCCCAGACAGCCAGGAUGUUGGCUUAGAAGCAGCCAUCAUUUAAAGAAAGCGUAAUAGCUCACUGGUCGAGUCGGCCUGCGCGGAAGAUGUAACGGGGCUAAACCAUGCACCGAAGCUGCGGCAGCGACGCUUAUGCGUUGUUGGGUAGGGGAGCGUUCUGUAAGCCUGCGAAGGUGGCCUGUGAGGGUUGCUGGAGGUAUCAGAAGUGCGAAUGCUGACAUAAGUAACGAUAAAGCGGGUGAAAAGCCCGCUCGCCGGAAGACCAAGGGUUCCUGUCCAACGUUAAUCGGGGCAGGGUGAGUCGACCCCUAAGGCGAGGCCGAAAGGCGUAGUCGAUGGGAAACGGGUUAAUAUUCCCGUACUUGGUGUUACUGCGAAGGGGGGACGGAGAAGGCUAUGUUGGCCGGGCGACGGUUGUCCCGGUUUAAGCGUGUAGGUGUGUGUUCCAGGUAAAUCCGGUUCACUUUAACACUGAGGCGUGACGACGAGGCACUACGGUGCUGAAGCAACAAAUGCCCUGCUUCCAGGAAAAGCCUCUAAGCAUCAGGUAACAUCAAAUCGUACCCCAAACCGACACAGGUGGUCAGGUAGAGAAUACCAAGGCGCUUGAGAGAACUCGGGUGAAGGAACUAGGCAAAAUGGUGCCGUAACUUCGGGAGAAGGCACGCUGACACGUAGGUGAAGUGAUUUACUCAUGGAGCUGAAGUCAGUCGAAGAUACCAGCUGGCUGCAACUGUUUAUUAAAAACACAGCACUGUGCAAACACGAAAGUGGACGUAUACGGUGUGACGCCUGCCCGGUGCCGGAAGGUUAAUUGAUGGGGUCAGCGCAAGCGAAGCUCCUGAUCGAAGCCCCGGUAAACGGCGGCCGUAACUAUAACGGUCCUAAGGUAGCGAAAUUCCUUGUCGGGUAAGUUCCGACCUGCACGAAUGGCGUAAUGAUGGCCAGGCUGUCUCCACCCGAGACUCAGUGAAAUUGAACUCGCUGUGAAGAUGCAGUGUACCCGCGGCAAGACGGAAAGACCCCGUGAACCUUUACUAUAGCUUGACACUGAACAUUGAGCCUUGAUGUGUAGGAUAGGUGGGAGGCUUUGAAGUGUGGACGCCAGUCUGCAUGGAGCCGACCUUGAAAUACCACCCUUUAAUGUUUGAUGUUCUAACGUGGACCCGUUACCCGGGUUGCGGACAGUGUCUGGUGGGUAGUUUGACUGGGGCGGUCUCCUCCUAAAGAGUAACGGAGGAGCACGAAGGUUGGCUAAUCCUGGUCGGACAUCAGGAGGUUAGUGCAAUGGCAUAAGCCAGCUUGACUGCGAGCGUGACGGCGCGAGCAGGUGCGAAAGCAGGUCAUAGUGAUCCGGUGGUUCUGAAUGGAAGGGCCAUCGCUCAACGGAUAAAAGGUACUCCGGGGAUAACAGGCUGAUACCGCCCAAGAGUUCAUAUCGACGGCGGUGUUUGGCACCUCGAUGUCGGCUCAUCACAUCCUGGGGCUGAAGUAGGUCCCAAGGGUAUGGCUGUUCGCCAUUUAAAGUGGUACGCGAGCUGGGUUUAGAACGUCGUGAGACAGUUCGGUCCCUAUCUGCCGUGGGCGCUGGAGAACUGAGGGGGGCUGCUCCUAGUACGAGAGGACCGGAGUGGACGCAUCACUGGUGUUCGGGUUGUCAUGCCAAUGGCACUGCCCGGUAGCUAAAUGCGGAAGAGAUAAGUGCUGAAAGCAUCUAAGCACGAAACUUGCCCCGAGAUGAGUUCUCCCUGAGACUUAAAGUCUCCUGAAGGAACGUUGAAGACGACGACGUUGAUAGGCCGGGUGUGUAAGCGCAGCGAUGCGUUGAGCUAACCGGUACUAAUGAACCGUGAGGCUUAACCUU
RNAcentral lists this ribosomal RNA (2908 nucleotides) under Salmonella enterica. Its description in RNAcentral is "bacterial LSU rRNA". It matches the Rfam family "Bacterial large subunit ribosomal RNA". The record is from RNAcentral. RNAcentral also lists the same sequence under 6 other names. Lineage: Bacteria; Pseudomonadati; Pseudomonadota; Gammaproteobacteria; Enterobacterales; Enterobacteriaceae.